RNAcentral lists this ribosomal RNA (460 nucleotides) under uncultured bacterium. RNAcentral describes it as "partial 16S ribosomal RNA". It matches the Rfam family "Bacterial small subunit ribosomal RNA", at positions 338 to 795 of the family's 1533-position model. The record is from RNAcentral.
CCUACGGGAGGCAGCAGUGAGGAAUAUUGGUCAAUGGACGAGAGCCUGAACCAGCCAAGUAGCGUGAAGGAUGACUGCCCUAUGGUUUGUAAACUUCUUUUAUAAGGGAAUAAAACGAGGCACGUGUGCUGUUUUGCAUGUACUUUAUGAAUAAGGAUCGGCUAACUCCGUGCCAGCAGCCGCGGUAAUACGGAGGAUCCGAGCGUUAUCCGGAUUUAUUGGGUUUAAAGGGAGCGUAGGUGGGUUGUUAAGUCAGUGGUGAAAGUCUGCGGCUCAACCAUAGAAUUGCAAUUGAUACUGGCAGUCUUGAGUACAGUUGAGGGAGGCGGAAUUCGUGGUGUAGCGGUGAAAUGCUUAGAUAUCACGAAGAACCCCGAUUGCGAAGGCAGCCUACUAAACUGUGACUGACAUUGAUGCUCGAAAGUGUGGGUAUCGAACAGGAUUAGAUACCCCUGUAGUC